GACGAACGCUGGCGGCGUGCUUAACACAUGCAAGUCGAACGGAAAGGCCCUGCUUUUGUGGGGUGCUCGAGUGGCGAACGGGUGAGUAACACGUGAGUAACCUGCCCUUGACUUUGGGAUAACUUCAGGAAACUGGGGCUAAUACCGGAUAGGAGCUCCUGCUGCAUGGGGGGGGUUGGAAAGUUUCGGCGGUUGGGGAUGGACUCGCGGCUUAUCAGCUUGUUGGUGGGGUAGUGGCUUACCAAGGCUUUGACGGGUAGCCGGCCUGAGAGGGUGACCGGCCACAUUGGGACUGCGAUACGGCCCAGACUCCUACGGGCGGCAGUAGUGGGGAAUAUUGCACAAUGGGCGGAAGCCUGAUGCAGCAACGCCGCGUGCGUGAUGACGGCCUUCGGGUUGUAAACCGCUUUCGCCUGUGACGAAGCGUGAUUGACGGUAAUGGGUAAAGAAGCACCGGCUAACUACGUG
This 468-nucleotide ribosomal RNA is filed under the name uncultured bacterium. Its description in RNAcentral is "partial 16S ribosomal RNA". It matches the Rfam family "Bacterial small subunit ribosomal RNA", at positions 28 to 507 of the family's 1533-position model. The record is from RNAcentral.